Molecule: long non-coding RNA, 364 nt
Organism: Papaver somniferum (opium poppy)
Lineage: Eukaryota; Viridiplantae; Streptophyta; Magnoliopsida; Ranunculales; Papaveraceae
Exons: 4
Source: RefSeq, a predicted model, not a curated record
CUCAGACGAAGAAACAGGCCGAGAACACGAUUUCUAAUCGAAAUUUCCAGUUCAACAAUGGAACUAUGAAGAUCUUCAACAACAACAGAAAUAAAGAAGAUAACAACUAAUCGUCAUUCACAGAACAACUUUGGGUACUGGAAUCUGUACCUGGAGAUGUAAAUCCUGAAGAGAGUGAUGGAGAAGUUGAGAAGGUUUUCCAGACCUUGCAAAGUUUACCCUCAGAAAUCCCAUCAAGAAAGUGGCUUGUAGAUUACAUGAUGGAGCUUGGGUUCUUCAAAUCACUUUCCCAGUGGGUUGGCAAUAACCUUAUGAAAUCUGGGGACCAUGAAACAUGGGCUUUUGAUCUCCAAGGUGCUGUUGA